CCUACGGGAGGCAGCAGUAGGGAAUAUUGCUCAAUGGGGGAAACCCUGAAGCAGCAACGCCGCGUGGAGGAUGACACUUUUCGGAGCGUAAACUCCUUUUCUUGGGGAAGAAAUUUGACGGUACCCAAGGAAUAAGCACCGGCUAACUCCGUGCCAGCAGCCGCGGUAAUACGGAGGGUGCAAGCGUUACUCGGAAUCACUGGGCGUAAAGGACGCGUAGGCGGAUGAAUAAGUCUCUUGUGAAAUCUAACGGCUUAACCGUUAAACUGCUUGGGAAACUAUUUAUCUAGAGUGAGGGAGAGGCAGAUGGAAUUGGUGGUGUAGGGGUAAAAUCCGUAGAGAUCACCAGGAAUACCCAUUGCGAAGGCGAUCUGCUGGAACUCAACUGACGCUAAUGCGUGAAA
RNAcentral lists this ribosomal RNA (404 nucleotides) under uncultured Prevotella sp. Its description in RNAcentral is "bacterial SSU rRNA". It matches the Rfam family "Bacterial small subunit ribosomal RNA", at positions 338 to 758 of the family's 1533-position model. Lineage: Bacteria; Pseudomonadati; Bacteroidota; Bacteroidia; Bacteroidales; Prevotellaceae. The record is from RNAcentral.